UGUAUGAAGCGUGAUGAAGUUGAAGAUCUCACAAAACCGUGGAGUCUAUAUUCAAUCCAACACUGAGCUUCAUACA
Oncorhynchus kisutch (coho salmon) is the source of this 76-nucleotide small nucleolar RNA. The record is from Ensembl. Lineage: Eukaryota; Metazoa; Chordata; Actinopteri; Salmoniformes; Salmonidae.